UGGCUGUGAUGACUUCUUAGGACACCUUUGGAUUCACCAUGAAAACAAAUCAAUGAAAUCUGAGCUUC
Molecule: small nucleolar RNA, 68 nt
Organism: Seriola dumerili (greater amberjack)
Lineage: Eukaryota; Metazoa; Chordata; Actinopteri; Carangiformes; Carangidae
Gene: SNORD58
Rfam family: Small nucleolar RNA SNORD58
About the family: snoRNA U58 is found in introns 1, 3 and 6 of the ribosomal protein RPL17 gene in humans. U58 is a member of the C/D class of snoRNA which contain C (UGAUGA) and D (CUGA) box motifs.
Source: Ensembl